AUUAGGGUGGCAGAGCCCGGUUAUGUAAGAAGCCUAAGAUUUCCGCACAGAGAUUCAAAUCCUCUCCCUAAUA
This 73-nucleotide transfer RNA is filed under the name Dopasia harti (Hart's glass lizard). RNAcentral describes it as "tRNA-Leu". The record is from RNAcentral. RNAcentral also lists the same sequence under 1 other name. Lineage: Eukaryota; Metazoa; Chordata; Lepidosauria; Squamata; Anguidae.